RNAcentral lists this ribosomal RNA (516 nucleotides) under uncultured bacterium. RNAcentral's name for it is "partial 16S ribosomal RNA". It matches the Rfam family "Bacterial small subunit ribosomal RNA", at positions 355 to 857 of the family's 1533-position model. The record is from RNAcentral.
UGGGGAAUAUUGCACAAUGGGCGCAAGCCUGAUGCAGCCAUGCCGCGUGUGUGAAGAAGGCCUUCGGGUUGUAAAGCACUUUCAGCGAGGAGGAAGGUGGUGAGCUUAAUACGCUCAUCAAUUGACGUUACUCGCAGAAGAAGCACCGGCUAACUCCGUGCCAGCAGCCGCGGUAAUACGGAGGGUGCAAGCGUUAAUCGGAAUUACUGGGCGUAAAGCGCACGCAGGCGGUUUGUUAAGUCAGAUGUGAAAUCCCCGGGCUCAACCUGGGAACUGCAUUUGAAACUGGCAAGCUAGAGUCUCGUAGAGGGGGGUAGAAUUCCAGGUNUAGCGGUGAAAUGCGUAGAGAUCUGGAGGAAUACCGGUGGCGAAGGCGGCCCCCCUGGACGAAGACUGACGCUCAGGUGCGAAAAGCGUGGGGAGCAAAACAGGAUUAGAUACCCUGGUAGUCCACGCUGUAAAACGAUGUCGAUUUUGGAGGUUGUGCCCCUUGAGGCGUGGNUUCCGGAGCUAACG